This 433-nucleotide ribosomal RNA is filed under the name uncultured bacterium. RNAcentral's name for it is "partial 16S ribosomal RNA". It matches the Rfam family "Bacterial small subunit ribosomal RNA", at positions 29 to 507 of the family's 1533-position model. The record is from RNAcentral.
AGCGAACGCUGGCGGCAGGCCUAACACAUGCAAGUCGAACGAACUCUUCGGAGUUAGUGGCGGACGGGUGAGUAACACGUGGGAACGUGCCUUUUGGUUCGGAAUAACUCAGGGAAACUUGUGCUAAUACCGAAUGUGCCCUUCGGGGGAAAGAUUUAUCGCCAUUAGAGCGGCCCGCGUCUGAUUAGCUAGUUGGUGAGGUAACGGCUCACCAAGGCGACGAUCAGUAGCUGGUCUGAGAGGAUGACCAGCCACACUGGGACUGAGACACGGCCCAGACUCCUACGGGAGGCAGCAGUGGGGAAUCUUGCGCAAUGGGCGAAAGCCUGACGCAGCCAUGCCGCGUGAAUGAUGAAGGUCUUAGGAUUGUAAAAUUCUUUCACCGGGGACGAUAAUGACGGUAACCGGAGAAGAAGCCCCGGCUAACUUCGUG